UGGGGAAUAUUGGACAAUGGGCGCAAGCCUGAUCCAGCAAUGCCGCGUGUGUGAAGAAGGCCUUCGGGUUGUAAAGCACUUUUAUCAGGAGCGAAACGCUGUCGGCUAAUACCCGGCGGAACUGACGGUACCUGAGGAAUAAGCACCGGCUAACUUCGUGCCAGCAGCCGCGGUAAUACGAAGGGUGCAAGCGUUAAUCGGAAUUACUGGGCGUAAAGCGUGCGUAGGCGGUUUCUUAAGUCUGCUGUGAAAUCCCCGGGCUCAACCUGGGAAUGGCAGUGGAUACUGGGAGGCUAGAGUGUGUCAGAGGGUGGUGGAAUUCCCGGUGUAGCGGUGAAAUGCGUAGAGAUCGGGAGGAACAUCAGUGGCGAAGGCGGCCACCUGGGACAACACUGACGCUGAGGCACGAAAGCGUGGGGAGCAAACAGGAUUAGAUACCCUGGUAGUCCACGCCCUAAAACGAUGCGAACUGGAUGUUGGUCUCAACUCGGAGAUCAGUGUCGAAGCUAACGCGUUAAGUUCGCCGCCUGGGGAGUACGGUCGCAAGACUGAAACUUAAAUGAAUUGACGGGGUCAUAGCUGUUUCCUG
RNAcentral lists this ribosomal RNA (589 nucleotides) under uncultured bacterium. RNAcentral describes it as "partial 16S ribosomal RNA". It matches the Rfam family "Bacterial small subunit ribosomal RNA", at positions 355 to 1376 of the family's 1533-position model. The record is from RNAcentral.